UAAUACAUGCAAGUCGAGCGAAGUUUUUCUGGUGCUUGCACUAGAAAAACUUAGCGGCGAACGGGUGAGUAACACGUAAAGAACCUGCCUCAUAGACGGGGACAACUAUUGGAAACGAUAGCUAAUACCGGAUAACAGCAUAAAUCGCAUGAUAUAUGUUUAAAAGUUGGUUUCGGCUAACACUAUGAGAUGGCUUUGCGGUGCAUUAGCUAGUUGGUGGGGUAAAGGCCUACCAAGGCGACGAUGCAUAGCCGACCUGAGAGGGUGAUCGGCCACACUGGGACUGAGACACGGCCCAGACUCCUACGGGAGGCAGCAGUAGGGAAUCUUCCGCAAUGGGCGAAAGCCUGACGGAGCAACGCCGCGUGAGUGAAGAAGGAUUUCGGUUCGUAAAGCUCUGUUGUUAGGGAAGAAUGAUUGUAUAGUAACUAUAUACAGUAGAGACGGUACCUAACCAGAAAGCCACGGCUAACUACGUGCCAGCAGCCGCGGU
This 493-nucleotide ribosomal RNA is filed under the name unidentified oral bacterium SH15. Its description in RNAcentral is "bacterial SSU rRNA". It matches the Rfam family "Bacterial small subunit ribosomal RNA", at positions 49 to 521 of the family's 1533-position model. The record is from RNAcentral. RNAcentral also lists the same sequence under 1 other name.